CAUGUGCAGAAACACAAUACCUGAAUGAGAUCUACUGGAUUACAUAGAAUUAGAUGACCUAGUCCUGGAAUCGUAGGGCUCAUGUUUUUAAGGACAGGCUCUCUGUCGGCAGAUUUUGUGUGUUUGUGCGUAUACACACCUACUCAUAUAAAGCCAUAACCAGACUGCUGAGCAAUGGGCAUGAAUAAUUGACUAAUCUUGCUCUCAUUUCUUCUAUUUGUCACCUCAAUGGCCACUACUAUUGGUCCUACAGAGGCUUCUCCGACAGAGGAGAGCAUUGCCACUACUCCUGAUUCUACAAUAGUUUCCCCAACAGAGGAAAGUGAGCUCCCUGCUCUUAAUUACACAAAACCUUGUCUGAAAGAUGAAAGCGCCCCCCUGCAGCUGCAGCUCACCAACACCUCUGCCUAUUACACCUACCUCGUGUUCCUUCUCGUGAGCGCAGUCUACCUUGCCACCGUCGCCUUGUGUCUGUUAAGGAGAACAGCAGUCUGGGGCAAUGGAAAGAGUUCGUAACAGAUGGUGACCCAAGAAAGCAACUUUCCUCCAUUGUUUAUACUCCCUAAAACUGUCUGCCGAGGAUCUAGACGGACUUUCUCUCUGAGUUUGGGUUAUUUCAGCUCACAUGCGUACUUUUCUGUUAUGUCAUUAUUGUGUAAUGGUUUUUCAAAUCACUGGACAAACAGAAAAUCCUACUCUGUAACGAUGCUGUAUACUGCCAUUACUCAGGGGCAGGGCCAAGCGGUAGUCCUUUAGCACCACUCUCUCCAUGAUCCCCAUCAGCUCCUCCAACAACCCGAAUAACCAUGCCUUCUAAGUACAGACAACAUGCGGCUCUAGUCACGUCGCUUAGGACCUUUUAACCAGAACCGCCUUGAAGCCUUCCAUUUUACACACCCUAAUCCAACAUCAUUGCUACUUAAAUUCUAUAUAUUUUUUUUCAUAAUAGGAGCAAUAAAAAAAUCAAAAGUC
This 972-nucleotide long non-coding RNA is filed under the name Equus asinus (donkey). RNAcentral describes it as "lncRNA (ENSEASG00005025979.1)". The record is from RNAcentral. Lineage: Eukaryota; Metazoa; Chordata; Mammalia; Perissodactyla; Equidae.